RNAcentral lists this ribosomal RNA (381 nucleotides) under uncultured Bicosoecida. RNAcentral's name for it is "partial small subunit ribosomal RNA". It matches the Rfam family "Eukaryotic small subunit ribosomal RNA", at positions 30 to 432 of the family's 1831-position model. The record is from RNAcentral. Lineage: Eukaryota; Bigyra; Bicosoecida.
GCUUGUCUCAAAGAUUAAGCCAUGCACGUCUGAGAAUAAAGAGUUUUCUCUGAAUCUGCGAAUGGCUCAUUAUAUCAGUUAUAGUUUAUUUGAUAGUCCUUUACUACUUGGAUAACCGUAGUAAUUCUAGAGCUAAUACAUGCGUAAAGGGUGCUGAAAGGCAUCUGUGUUUAUUAGAUACAACCAACCCCUCGCGGGUUUAGGUGAUUCAUAAUAACCGAACGAACCGCGUUCAGCGGUGAUUCUUUCUACAUUAUUCCCUAUCAGCUUUCGUUUUUUGUGUAGUGGACAAAAAAGGCUUUGACGGGUAACGGAGAAUUAGGGUUCGAUUCCGGAGAGGGAGCCUGAGAGAUGGCUACCACAUCCAAGGAAGGCAGCAGG